This 253-nucleotide ribosomal RNA is filed under the name uncultured bacterium. RNAcentral's name for it is "partial 16S ribosomal RNA". It matches the Rfam family "Bacterial small subunit ribosomal RNA", at positions 524 to 776 of the family's 1533-position model. The record is from RNAcentral.
UACGUAGGGUGCGAGCGUUAAUCGGAAUUACUGGGCGUAAAGGGUGCGCAGGCGGUUCUGCAAGUCAGGCGUGAAAUCCCCGGGCUUAACCUGGGAAUGGCGCUUGAAACUACGGGACUGGAGUAUGGCAGAGGGAGGUGGAAUUCCACGUGUAGCGGUGAAAUGCGUAGAGAUGUGGAGGAACACCGAUGGCGAAGGCAGCCUCCUGGGCCAAUACUGACGCUCGUGCACGAAAGCGUGGGGAGCAAACAGG